CCUACGGGUGGCAGCAGUGGGGAAUAUUGCACAAUGUGGGGAACCCUGAUGCAGCGACGCCGCGUGUGCGAGGAAGUAUUUCGGUAUGUAAAGCACUAUCAGCAGGGACGAAAAAAGACGGUACCUGACUAAUGAGCCCCGGCUAACUACGUGCCAGCAGCAGCGGUAAUACGUAGGGGGCAAGCGUUAGCCGGAUUUACUGGGUGUAAAGGGAGCGUAGUCGGCAAGGCAAGCCAGAAGUGAAAGGGCAGGGCUCAACCCUGGACAUGCUUUUGGAACUGUGGUGCUAGAGUGCAGGAGAGGUGAGUAGAAUUCCUAGUGUAGCGGUGAAAUGCGUAGAUAUGAGGAGGAACACCAGUGGCGAAGGCGGCUUACUGGACAGUAACUGACGUUGAGGCUCGAAAGCGUGGGGAGCAAACAGGAUUAGAUACCCGUGUAGUC
This 441-nucleotide ribosomal RNA is filed under the name uncultured bacterium. RNAcentral describes it as "partial 16S ribosomal RNA". It matches the Rfam family "Bacterial small subunit ribosomal RNA", at positions 338 to 795 of the family's 1533-position model. The record is from RNAcentral.